This 1425-nucleotide ribosomal RNA is filed under the name Globodera pallida. RNAcentral's name for it is "eukaryotic LSU rRNA". It matches the Rfam family "Eukaryotic large subunit ribosomal RNA", at positions 1 to 1254 of the family's 3401-position model. Lineage: Eukaryota; Metazoa; Nematoda; Chromadorea; Rhabditida; Heteroderidae. The record is from RNAcentral.
UCGACCUGAACUCAGACGUGAACACCCGCUGAACUUAAGCAUAUCAGUAAGCGGAGGAAAAGAAACUAACGAGGAUUCCCGUAGUAACGGCGAGUGAACUGGGAAGAGUCCAGCGCUGAAUCACUUCUCCUCUGGGGUUGUGAGGUGUAGCGUACAGACCGUGAGCUUGGAUUGGCCCGCUUGUUCAANUUUCCCUUGACCGGGGCUCCNNAGAANGNGCAAGACCUGUCCAGCGGGUGGUUGCCUAUCCNUCUUCGCGUNUCUNGGAGUCGGGUUGUUUGGGAUCGCAGCCCAAAGUAGGUGGUAAAMUUCAUCUAAGACUGAAURCGGCCACGAGUCCGAUAGCGAACAAGUACCGUGAGGGAAAGUUGCAAAGCACUUUGAAGAGAGAGUUAAAGAGGACGUGAAACCGAUGAGAUGGAAACGGACAGAGCUGGCGUAUCUGGUCUGCAUUCAUCCGUGUGUUCUUGGGCGUUUGGAUUGCCAAUCUCCAGACUGGGAUGGUGUUCMUUCUGCUCAGGGGCUCAUGGAGCAUUUGCAGGCGGAGUGCGCUGAGAUGCUCGGGACAGCUGCAUGAGCUUGGCUUUGAGGCCAGCCCUUCGGGGUCUGGUACCCGGGCUGUGGGAGUGCUGUUUGUUCUGGGUGCUGAGUGUGUGCAAUGGCAACGGGUCCGUGUUGGUUUGAGCUGGUGGUUGGUGGCGGUCGCGUGCGACACGUGCCGGCAGUCAGUUCGGUCCUGCUCGGGCUCUCAUUGCAUGUUCUCGGUGUAAAAGCCGGUCAUCUGUCCGACCCGUCUUGAAACACGGACCAAGGAGUUUAGCGUGUGCGCGAGUCAUUGGGAGUUGAAAACCCAAGGGCGUAAUGAAAGUGAAGGUCUCCUUGCGGAGCUGAUGUGUGAUCUCGUGCACCCCGGUGUGCGGGCGCAACAUAGUCCCGUCCCGAUCGCAUGCGAUGGGGCGGAGACAGAGCGUACGCGCUGAGACCCGAAAGAUGGUGAACUAUUCCUGAGCAGGAUGAAGCCAGAGGAAACUCUGGUGGAAGUCCGAAGCGAUUCUGACGUGCAAAUCGAUCGUCUGACUUGGGUAUAGGGGCGAAAGACUAAUCGAACCAUCUAGUAGCUGGUUCCCUCCGAAGUUUCCCCCAGGAUAGCUGGAGCUCGUCAAGCAGUUAUACUCGGUAAAGCGAAUGAUUAGAGGACUUGGGGACGAAAUGUUCUUAACCUAUUCUCAAACUCUAAAUGGGUAUGAAGCCAGGGUUGCUUGACUCUGAACCCCGGCGUUGAAUGUUUGAGCUCCAAGUGGGCCAUUUUUGGUAAGCAGAACUGGCGAUGUGGGAUGAACCAAACGUGGAGUUAAGGUGCCAAAGUGCCCGCUCAUUAGACCCCAUAAAAGGUGUUGGUUGAUAUAGACAGCAGGACGGUGGCCA